GACAGAGGGUGCAAACGUUGCUCGGAAUCACUGGGCGUAAAGGGCGUGUAGGCGGGAAGGAAAGUCAGAUGUGAAAUCCCCAGGCUCAACCUGGGAACUGCAUUUGAAACUCCCUUUCUUGAGUACCGGAGAGGAAAGUGGAAUUCCUGGUGUAGAGGUGAAAUUCGUAGAUAUCAGGAGGAACACCAGUGGCGAAGGCGGCUUUCUGGACGGUAACUGACGCUGGAGACGCGAAAGCGUGGGGAGCAAACAGG
This 254-nucleotide ribosomal RNA is filed under the name uncultured bacterium. Its description in RNAcentral is "partial 16S ribosomal RNA". It matches the Rfam family "Bacterial small subunit ribosomal RNA", at positions 524 to 776 of the family's 1533-position model. The record is from RNAcentral.